This is a long non-coding RNA of Amphiprion ocellaris (clown anemonefish), 857 nucleotides long. The record is from Ensembl. Lineage: Eukaryota; Metazoa; Chordata; Actinopteri; Pomacentridae.
CUAUCUCUAUAUCUAUGGUCGGCACGUCUGGUAGCAUCUCUGACUGCUGUUGAUCUUGUUUUCGGAGUAAAACACGGUGGAAGCUGAAUUAGUGAGGAUGACUCCUGCUCCUGUCAUCUCUAAGCUCCUCACACAUCUUUACCUGCACAUGAGGAAAAUCACUCCUGUAGAAUGCAGAUGUUCAGAGGGAGAUGAUGCCACAUCUGGUCCAGCUGAUGGAAGGUCUUGAAGUUCUCUGACUGGCCUGGACUGAAGAUGGUCGUCUCACUGGAUUUAAGGUUCAGAUGCUCAGUAACAAACUCCACCAAUGAGCCAACAGGGAAGCUUUAGGUUUAUUAAAUGUUGCUAUGAAGGUUUCGCUCGUUUGUGAUGCUGAAGCAGUGACCAGUUUUUCUGUUUCUUCUCUGGAGAUGCACAAUGAGGGACGUCUGCAGAGACUGAGAAAGAGUCUCACCACAUCCUGACAUGAGGAAAAAGACUUUAUUGAAGACUACAAUGAGAAAAACUAUCAGACAGCAGACGGCUGCAUUCAAGGCUACAGGAGGAGUCCUAAGAGGACGAGCCAGUCCACCUGAUGGCGGCCAGUCGCUGCGGUUCAAAGCCAACACCGACUACGUGGACUUCUACUGGACCACAUGGAGGCCUUCAAACCGGACCAACAAGUUCAGCGACUCCCCGACUCGUGGGUCUGAGGACGCCGCCGAGCCUCGGUCCAGCCGGCCUCCUGUCUGUGGGUGUUUGAGUGCUGAGAGGUUUGUGGAUGCAUGUGAACGUUCUGUGUUGAAACAGCAGCUUUGGACUCAGUAACGCCAGGAAAAACCAAGAGCUCCUUUAUUUGUGACUUCCACUAAAAAAAC